CAUGUAGACUGAGAGAUCAUAUAUGAGAUUGUCUCAGCGCGCGCGAUACGCAGGCGCAGUAUGUCAGUAUAGUGGUAUAAAGCGCGUAGUAGCGUCGUAGUAGUAUGGGAGAUCGCUCCGCUCUCAGCGGAGUAGCGCUGAGAAAGCACUCGAGUAGAGUGCAGAGAGAGAAGUAGUACUCGCGUGCAGCGAGAACGUAGUAGUGAUGGGGAGCAUACUGGAGAAGACGACGGCUUCUGCACGUUGAAUGACGAUGAGACGAAAAAGCGUGAGCAGACAGCAUGAUUAGAUACCCUAGUACUCCACGUUGUAAACGGUCAGUAGUAGUUGUCGGGUAGUAUUCACCCCUCCGCUGCAGUAGGUAACCUAUUAAGUACGCCGCGUGGGGAGUACGGUAGCAAGGCUACUACUCAAAGGAGUUGACGGGGGGCACCACAAGCGGUGCAGCAUGUGGAUUAAUUCGACGCAACCAGAACAACCUUAGGUGGGCAUGACAGGUUGUCGACUACAGAGGAAACACUUUUUCCUUUCGGGGCGAGAUCACAGGUGGUCCAUGGCGUUGUUCAGCUCGUGUCGUGAGAUGUGGGGUUAAUUCCCGCAACGAGCGCAACCCCUUCCUUAGUUGCCAAGCGGUUCGGCCGGGGACUCUAGGGAUACUGCCCGUGACAAACCGGAGGAAGGUGGGGACGACGUCAAGUCAUCAUGCCCCUUAUGUCCAGGGCUACACACGUGCUACAAUGGCCGGCACAAAGAGAGGCAAAACCGCGAGUUUGAGCGAAUCUCACAAAGCCGUUCUCAGUUCGGAUUGCAGUCUGCAACUCGACUCCAUGAAGUCGGAAUCGCUAGUAAUCCCGGAUCAGCAAAGCCGCGGUGAAUACGUUCUGGGCGUUGGUCCCCCCCCCCGGUCCCACCACAAAAUUCGGUAACCCCGAUACUCAGUGGCCCAACCCCAAGGGAGGCAGCUGUCCAAGGUGGGAUCGGUAACUGGGAUGAAGUCGUAACAAGGUAACC
This 1011-nucleotide ribosomal RNA is filed under the name uncultured bacterium. Its description in RNAcentral is "bacterial SSU rRNA". It matches the Rfam family "Bacterial small subunit ribosomal RNA". The record is from RNAcentral.